UCCCUGGUGACCCAGUGGCUAAGACUCUGCACUUCUAAUGCAGGGGGCCUGGGUUCAAUUCCUCGUCAGGGAA
Molecule: transfer RNA, 73 nt
Filed under: Bos taurus (domestic cattle)
Lineage: Eukaryota; Metazoa; Chordata; Mammalia; Artiodactyla; Bovidae
Also listed under: 3 other names
Rfam family: tRNA
About the family: Transfer RNA (tRNA) molecules are approximately 80 nucleotides in length.
Source: Rfam by way of RNAcentral